Molecule: transfer RNA, 69 nt
Filed under: Cymatophoropsis trimaculata
Lineage: Eukaryota; Metazoa; Arthropoda; Insecta; Lepidoptera; Erebidae
Description: tRNA-Leu
Source: RNAcentral
ACUAUUUUGACAGAAAAAUGUGAUGGUUUUAGAAAUCAUAAAUAUAUAAUUUAGAUUAUAUAAAUAGUA